Molecule: unclassified non-coding RNA, 554 nt
Filed under: Wardomycopsis litoralis
Lineage: Eukaryota; Fungi; Ascomycota; Sordariomycetes; Microascales; Microascaceae
Description: sequence contains ITS1, 5.8S rRNA gene and ITS2
Rfam family: 5.8S ribosomal RNA (bases 163-316)
Source: RNAcentral
UGAAGUAAAGUCGUACCAAGGUCUCCGUUGGUGAACCAGCGGAGGGAUCAUUACCGAAGUUACUCUUCAAAACCCUUUGUGGACCCUACCCCCGCCGGCGGCGCCAAACUCUUAUUUUGCACAGCGGACUGUACGUCUGAUUUUGGUAAUAAAACAAGUCAAAACUUUCAACAACGGAUCUCUUGGUUCUGGCAUCGAUGAAGAACGCAGCGAAAUGCGAUAAGUAAUGUGAAUUGCAGAAUUCAGUGAAUCAUCGAAUCUUUGAACGCACAUUGCGCCCGGCAGUAAUCUGCCGGGCAUGCCUGUCCGAGCGUCAUUUCUCCCCUCGACCCCGGCUCUGCCGCGGCGUCGGUGUUGGGGCGCUACGGGGAGCCUCGCGCUCGACCCCGUAGGCCCCGAAAUGAAGUGGCGGUCCCGCCGCGGCGCCCCCUGCGUAGUAGCUCUUACAACUCGCAUCGGGGUCCCGGCGGAGGCCAGCCGUCAAACCCCCCCAAUUAUGAAUGUUUGACCUCGGAUCAGGUAGGGUUACCCGCUGAACUUAAGCAUAUCAAUAA